AGAGUUUGAUCAUGGCUCAGAAUCAACGCUGGCGGCGCGCCUAACACAUGCAAGUCGAACGAGAAAGCGGGGGCAACCUCGUGAGUAAAGUGGCGUACGGGUGAGUAACACGUGGAUCAUCUACCCUGGAGUGGGGAAUAACGCUGGGAAACCGGCGCUAAUACCGCAUAUUCCCGAGAGGGGAAAGCAGCAAUGCGCUCGAGGAGGAGUCCGCGGCCGAUUAGCUUGUUGGCAGGGUAAAAGCCUACCAAGGCUGUGAUCGGUAGCCGGCCUGAGAGGGCACACGGCCACACUGGCACUGAAACACGGGCCAGACUCCUACGGGAGGCAGCAGUGGGGAAUCUUGCACAAUGGGGGAAACCCUGAUGCAGCGACGCCGCGUGAGCGAUGAAGCCCUUCGGGGUGUAAAGCUCUUUCGGCAGGGAAGAUCAUGACGGUACCUGCAGAAGCAGCUGCGGCUAACUACGUGCCAGCAGCCGCGGUAAUACGUAGGCAGCAAGCGUUGUUCGGAGUUACUGGGCGUAAAGGGUGUGUAGGCGGCUCUCUAAGUUUGGUGUGAAAUCUCCCGGCUCAACCGGGAGGGUGCGCCGAAAACUGGAGGGCUAGAGUGCGGGAUGGGAGAGUAGAAUUCCUGGUGUAGCGGUGAAAUGCGUAGAUAUCAGGAGGAAUACCGGUGGUGUAGACGGCUCUCUGGACCGUAACUGACGCUGAAACACGAAAGCGUGGGUAGCAAACAGGAUUAGAUACCCUGGUAGUCCACGCCCUAAACGAUGCACAUUUGGUGUAGGUCAUUCAGUUGAUCUGUGCCGGAGCUAACGCGUUAAAUGUGCCGCCUGGGGAGUACAGUCGCAAGGCUGAAACUCAAAGGAAUUGACGGGGCCCGCACAAGCGGUGGAGCAUGUGGUUCAAUUCGACGCAACGCGAAGAACCUUACCUGGGCCUCGAACGGC
Molecule: ribosomal RNA, 950 nt
Filed under: uncultured bacterium
Lineage: Bacteria
Description: bacterial SSU rRNA
Rfam family: Bacterial small subunit ribosomal RNA
Source: RNAcentral